GGGGAUUUAGCUCAGUGGUAGAGUGCUUGCUUAGCAAGCACAAGGCCCUGGGUUCGGUCCCCAGCUCUG
Molecule: non-coding RNA, 69 nt
Organism: Rattus norvegicus (Norway rat)
Lineage: Eukaryota; Metazoa; Chordata; Mammalia; Rodentia; Muridae
Source: Rfam